UGGGGAAUCUUGGACAAUGGGGGCAACCCUGAUCCAGCGAUGCCGCGUGGGUGAAGAAGGCCUUCGGGUUGUAAAGCCCUUUAGGCCGGGACGAAGGUAGUGGGGGGAAAUACCUGCUAUUUGACGGUACCGGCAGAAUAAGCACCGGCAAACUCUGUGCCAGCAGCCGCGGUAAUACAGAGGGUGCGAGCGUUAAUCGGAGUUACUGGGCGUAAAGGGUGCGUAGGCGGUUUGAUGAGUGUGAUGUGAAAGCCCUGGGCUUAACCUAGGAAGUGCAUCGCAAACGAUCGAACUGGAGUAGAUGAGAGGGUGGCGGAAUUUCCGGUGUAGCGGUGAAAUGCGUAGAGAUCGGAAGGAACGUCAAUGGCGAAGGCAGCCACCUGGCAUCAUACUGACGCUGAGGCACGAAAGCGUGGGGAGCGAACAGG
RNAcentral lists this ribosomal RNA (428 nucleotides) under uncultured bacterium. RNAcentral's name for it is "bacterial SSU rRNA". It matches the Rfam family "Bacterial small subunit ribosomal RNA", at positions 355 to 776 of the family's 1533-position model. The record is from RNAcentral.